CUUUGGAGGUGGACUAGAUGUGUAUCACAUUAAGUUUAGGUGAACUGCUUCUGGUGUGAGGCCUCAGUGCACAGAGGAUCCCAGAGGAGCUUGAAGACUACCUCAUCUGACUUUAGUUAUCCCAAGAGACUGCUCAAAGCUGCUGCUGGUUCUUGCCAAAGAUGAAGACACGGAAAGAAAAAGGCAAGCCAUGGGAGAAUUACCAUGCAGAAGAGAGAGAGAGAAGGUAUUUUAAUUCUAUUUUGCAGAGGAAGAAGUUCAAGUAUAGCCAGAAGAGAAGUGACAGAGGGCUUUACAUGGUUCAGAACAGAGCUUUAUUCUUUCUCUUCAACUUUCUGCUAGAGGAUAAAACUUCAUGAUGAAUCUUCU
Molecule: long non-coding RNA, 369 nt
Filed under: Fukomys damarensis (Damara mole-rat)
Lineage: Eukaryota; Metazoa; Chordata; Mammalia; Rodentia; Bathyergidae
Description: lncRNA (ENSFDAG00000033087.1)
Source: RNAcentral